GCUGCCUUAGUAUAAUAUUAGUAUGUUUGUCUUUCGAACUUGUGGAUUGGAUAGCUCCAAAGGUGGUU
This 68-nucleotide transfer RNA is filed under the name Trisidos kiyonoi. RNAcentral's name for it is "tRNA-Glu". The record is from RNAcentral. Lineage: Eukaryota; Metazoa; Mollusca; Bivalvia; Arcoida; Arcidae.